This 841-nucleotide long non-coding RNA is filed under the name Carassius auratus (goldfish). RNAcentral's name for it is "lncRNA (ENSCARG00000018249.1)". The record is from RNAcentral. Lineage: Eukaryota; Metazoa; Chordata; Actinopteri; Cypriniformes; Cyprinidae.
CAGGGUAAGGAUUAUUACUAGUUAUGAAGAGAAGCAGAGAUUUUUUGUCACUCCAGUUAUACAAUUACAACUUUGUAAAACAUCACUAAACAAGAAUAAUAGUUUAAACAGUUGUAAAAGACAGAAGAACAAUAAUAAAAUGUUCACUAUACACAAAUACACACACAGAAACGUGUGUGUCUAUGUAUGUACAUAUGUAUGAUGGUGUGAGUGUAAAAAAUAUAUAUAGUUAUACAUGUGUGUGUGUGUGUGUGUGUGUCAGAACCUCCAGCCUAUUGAUGUCUCAGAUGUCUCAGAUAUCUGUGUAUUCCCACAGCUGACCAGCCACACCCAGAGGAGGAUCCAGCAGUCUCUGGACCUCCACCUGCUAAGCAUGUGCACAAGUUCCAGUAUGGCCUCUGGAGCUGGCGGAAGAGUCAUCCAGUCUACUCCGUAGGAAAUCUCCUACCAUCUUCCAGCCAUGAUUUACAGGCGGAGGAAUGUCUGGCAUGCACUCAAGACACCUCCUGUGUACUGCAGCCUGAUAGCUUGCCCGCUGGAUGUGUUUAUGCAAGGAGUCUUUGUUUGGAGAGCGCUCACUGUGUCACAUCCAGAAAAGGCAUGCAGACCUACAAGGGCAUCACAUUUGUCUUCGCCAAGAUGGGCAUGUAGCUUGGUAAUGUCAGUAAUGUGUGUGUCUCUCCCCUUGGCUGUAUGGAAAUGGAGGUGGCCAUCAAUGUGGCUGCAGAAAGCUAGAGCCAGCACAAAGACAUUGGUGUCUGGGCUCUUGAUUACCAGGUCAUGGCUGUGUUUGGCUGCAUGGGCUGCACGCAGAAUCAUUCUGGUGUCUGCCUCCUCUUGA